Molecule: ribosomal RNA, 526 nt
Filed under: Artemia monica
Lineage: Eukaryota; Metazoa; Arthropoda; Branchiopoda; Anostraca; Artemiidae
Description: partial 16S ribosomal RNA
Rfam family: Bacterial large subunit ribosomal RNA
Source: RNAcentral
CGCCUGUUUUUCAAAAACAUCGCCUCCUAACUUUGGGAGGUCGAGCCUGCCCACUGAUGAAUUAAAGGGCCGUGGUAUACUGACCAUGCGAAGGUAGCAUAAUCAUUAGCCUUUUGAUUUGAGGCUGGAAUGAAUGGUUUGACGAGAGGUGGUCUGUCUCUUCGAUUAAAUUGAAGUUAAUCUUUAAGUGAAAAAGCUUAAAUGUACUUGGAGGGCGAUAAGACCCUAUAGAUCUUUACAUUUAAUUCUUUUGUCUUGCGGUAGGUAAUUAGACAGAGUAAAACAAUGUUCGGUUGGGGCGACGGUAAGAACAGAAUAAACACUUACAACAUAAAUACAUCAAUAAAUGACCAUUGAUCCUUAGAUGAAUAAAGACCAAGUUACCUUAGGGAUAACAGCGUAAUUCUUUUUGAGAGUUCAAAUCGACAAAAGAGUUUGCGACCUCGAUGUUGGUUCAGGGACCCUACUCGGUGCAGCAGCCUAGAGAGGCAGUCUGUUCGACUGUUAAACCCCUACAUGAUCUGAG